CCACUGAACUCAUGGGACUUGUAGAUGUCUUCUCCAGACCUGGGGUGGAAAUUUAGCACAUAGCCUCCCACUGUCAGCCAUGAAAGCCACAACGCCGACAGAGUCCUCUAUGGUUGACAAAACACCCUUCUACUUACCAACACACAUAGCUUGAGCCUCUCAACAGCCCCCUGGGCAGAUUCCCAGACCAGUUUCAUGGGGUUUUCAAGGGUCAGAUGAAAUGAUUCAGUGCAGGUGAACACCUCUGAGAUCUAUCUAACACCGCCGUUUUUACAGAUGAGGAACUGAAGCAAAGAGAAGGGAUGGCCCUUGCCCAAGAAUGCAGAUCAUUCCUCCUCUAGGCUCACCACUGGUGCCACCAUUCUGCCUCAACUUACCACUAACACCUUAGUUAGAAUUGAUCCUAGAGGAUCACCUGUUUCCAAACCUCCCCCCUCCUGAAGAGCAGGUAUGAUGUGGAAGUGGGAAGAGAAAGACCCAAUGAGGUGAGCUCUGAAUCCUUGAUAAUUCUGUACGCCAGCUGGAGGUCUGCUGAACAUCAUGCCAGAGAUCAUCACUUCUCAUCCUGUCUCAUCCUCUGACUCUAUCUGACUACUGGCUUCAGCAUUUCACACAGAAAAUUCUAGAACAAGACUCAGAUCUUCUUUUGUGGGAUCUGCUAAGAAGGGGCUCUUCCAACUCAAGGUUGAGAAUGGUUUUCAGAAGGUCCUUCAAAAGCAGAACAGUUUCCAUUUCAGGUGUGGGACUGAAGGUGGAGCAUCAAUUUUCCCAAGAUCUCUUUAAACACAAAUGUGCCCAGCCUGUCUCCAGGGCCUUCCAAUCAGUCUCCUGGGGACCACGCCAUCUGCCACAGUCCUGCUCCACUCUGCGCCUAGAGUGAUCUUUUCAACGCCUCCGUGAACAGUCUCCCUGCUGCCCUCCUCCUUGUACCCAAAUCCUUCAGCAGGUCUCCGUCUUCCUCAGAAGCCAGAUCAACGCCCCACCCGAAUGUCUGCAAAGGCCCAAAGAGUACCCGGCCUCUCCUGCAUCCUCUCAUGGCGCCUGGGCUCCCAGGCCCUUCUCACCACCCCCUUCCUCAGCAGACAGCACCCCGGAAGCCUCUGGGGUGCUGUGUGGGAAUCAGAUAUACAGAGUCUGAAGUUGCCUGGGAGGCCCCUGGCAGGCCCUGCCCACCCGUAAGGAGGCAGAGAGGGUACGCACUUCAAGGAGGGUCCGUGCAGGUCAUCCCAUGGCCUCUGCCGCUGACUCUGGUGAAUGCAGAGUUUAAAUCUAUACAGGUCAAGCAAGGCCUUAUAAAAGUUAAGGAAACAUUAGGUUAGGACAACACAAGCUGAGGGAGGUCCUUCCUUUUGUCAAGAAAAUGGUGUGGCAGCCACCAAAAUCCCGGGGAGAGGAGAUUCCCAGCUUAAAGUUAAAUAAAACUGCAUCACACAGUGAAAGAGCCCGUGCCCUUGGAAUCCCUCUCAUCAAGGGAAAGAAGAAAGUCUCAACUGGAUGCUAACGGACCUCUAAUGCCCCUCAAGACUUCACACUCUCUUGCCAGCAGAGGGGGGCCUUCCAAGGGCUCCUGGCCUUCUGCCCACAGCAGACUGCAGCGGGAAUCCAUUUACCAUCGAACGUUAGAGUGUUUUUACCCUGUGGCACUCUCUUAACGCCAGGCGAUGUUGGCUUUCCAUUAUCCGUGCGCAGAAAUAGUUUCUCUUUAAAAUAAAUGUAUUUGCG
Molecule: long non-coding RNA, 1722 nt
Organism: Lutra lutra (Eurasian river otter)
Lineage: Eukaryota; Metazoa; Chordata; Mammalia; Carnivora; Mustelidae
Exons: 3
Source: RefSeq, a predicted model, not a curated record